GUGCUCACUUUGGCAGCACGUAUACUAAAAUUGUGAAUGAUACAAAGAAAAUUUUCAUGGUCCCUGAACAAGGAUAACAUGCAAAUUCAUGAAGCAUUUUAUAUUUUU
This 108-nucleotide small nuclear RNA is filed under the name Aotus nancymaae (Ma's night monkey). The record is from RNAcentral. Lineage: Eukaryota; Metazoa; Chordata; Mammalia; Primates; Aotidae.